UAAUGCAUAGAUAAUGUGCCCCUUAGUUCGGGAUAGCCACUGGAAACGGUGAUUAAUACCGGAUACUCCUUCUUGUUAUAAGACAAGUCGGGAAAGUUUUUCGCUAAGGGAUCAGUCUAUGUUCCAUCAGCUUGUUGGUGAGGUAAUGGCUCACCAAGGCUAUGACGGAUAUCUGGUUUGAGAGGAUGAUCAGACACACUGGAACUGAGACACGGACCAGACUCCUACGGGAGGCAGCAGUGAGGAAUAUUGCACAAUGGAGGAAACUCUGAUGCAGCAACGCCGCGUGGAGGAUGACGCAUUUCGGUGUGUAAACUCCUUUUAUUAGGGAAGAUAAUGACGGUACCUAAUGAAUAAGCACCGGCUAACUCCGUGCCAGCAGCCGCGGUAAUACGGAGGGUGCAAGCGUUACUCGGAAUCACUGGGCGUAAAGGGUGCGUAGGCUGGCUUUUAAGUCAGAUGUGAAAUCCAAUGGCUCAACCAUUGAACUGCAUUUGAAACUGAAAGCCUAGAGUUCAGAAGGGGCAGAUGGAAUUAGUGGUGUAGGGGUAAAAUCCGUAGAUAUCACUAGGAAUAUCAAAAGCGAAGGCGAUCUU
RNAcentral lists this ribosomal RNA (596 nucleotides) under uncultured bacterium. RNAcentral's name for it is "bacterial SSU rRNA". It matches the Rfam family "Bacterial small subunit ribosomal RNA", at positions 111 to 728 of the family's 1533-position model. The record is from RNAcentral.